GACGAACGCUGGCGGCGUGCUUAACACAUGCAAGUCGAGCGGUAAGGCCCUUUCGGGGGUACACGAGCGGCGAACGGGUGAGUAACACGUGGGUGACCUGCCCUCAGCUCUGGGAUAAGCCUGGGAAACUGGGUCUAAUACCGGAUAUGACCCCAUGACGCAUGUCGUGGGGUGGAAAGCCUUGUGCGGCUGAGGAUGGGCCCGCGGCCUAUCAGCUUGUUGGUGGGGUGAUGGCCUACCAAGGCGACGACGGGUAGCCGGCCUGAGAGGGCGACCGGCCACACUGGGACUGAGACACGGCCCAGACUCCUACGGGAGGCAGCAGUGGGGAAUCUUGCGCAAUGGGCGAAAGCCUGACGCAGCGACGCCGCGUGAGGGAUGACGGCCU
RNAcentral lists this ribosomal RNA (388 nucleotides) under uncultured bacterium. Its description in RNAcentral is "bacterial SSU rRNA". It matches the Rfam family "Bacterial small subunit ribosomal RNA", at positions 28 to 417 of the family's 1533-position model. The record is from RNAcentral.